UUUCUUUUUCUUAAAUCAACGGUCGUGGUUUCUUAUGCAAUAGAUCGAAGCGGCUUCGUUUCGCCGUUUCAGUCGCUCUAUAUAAACACUGUAAACCCUAACUCUAGGACACUAGUCCUCAGGAUUUUUGGUUUCUGAGUUCCAUUGUUCAAUUUGUUCUCAAACCUAGCUUUAUUUCUCAAGCCCCAGGUGAUGAUAAAACAGACAGGGACAUCUGUACUCCUUCGGAGGAUGAUGACUUGUUCUAAUGGGAAUCUCUCUGAUGCAGAGUAUUUGCACUCACUAACAUAUGUACUUUUUAAGAUAUAAGCAGUGUGUCUUGUUUUCCAAGUUCUGUUCUUAUUUCGUCUUUAAGUUGUAUGAAAUUUUUUAAUCGAACUAUAUGUUCUUGGUUUGGUUUGCGUUAAACUUUUUAACUGAUUGUCAGUGUUUAACUGAUUAUACUUCAACUUGAUUUGAGCGAUUGACAACAGAACAGAUGAAAAUCUAUUGUAUGCAGGGUUUUGUAUUACGGAAUGUGUUGUAUGCUGCAACCAUAAUCUAUUUGCUUGAUAUAAUAGCUUUAAACAUUUUAUGAUUUGCCAA
Molecule: long non-coding RNA, 585 nt
Organism: Carya illinoinensis
Lineage: Eukaryota; Viridiplantae; Streptophyta; Magnoliopsida; Fagales; Juglandaceae
Exons: 2
Source: RefSeq, a predicted model, not a curated record